This is a long non-coding RNA of Pimephales promelas (fathead minnow), 303 nucleotides long. RefSeq lists it as uncharacterized. Lineage: Eukaryota; Metazoa; Chordata; Actinopteri; Cypriniformes; Leuciscidae. The record is from RefSeq and is a predicted model, not a curated record.
UCUCCCAUCAGCUCGAUAUGACAUCCUGUCGGGUCUUCAUGAUUAUGACAUGGAAGGUGGCUUGCACAUUGGGCUGAGGCGGUUGGAUUGCACAUGGCGGUUGGAUCUUGCCUCACUGACAGUGAAAUGAAUGGACCAGGAGAAAUUGAGUAUGGAGUAGGAGCGCUGGAGGGGGACACGACACCACACAAUCUUGAGAAUGCCAAUAUGAUGAGCAGCAUCAGGAAAGGUGUGGAAUGGUUGAAGGACAAUCACCCGCUGAUGAAGAUCAAGUACUUGCCACCACGCAUUGACAGCAUGGAG